CCUACGGGUGGCAGCAGUGGGGAAUAUUGCACAAUGGGGGAAACCCUGAUGCAGCGACGCCGCGUGAGUGAAGAAGUAUUUCGGUAUGUAAAGCUCUAUCAGCAGGGAAGAAAAUGACGGUACCUGACUAAGAAGCCCCGGCUAACUACGUGCCAGCAGCCGCGGUAAUACGUAGGGGGCAAGCGUUAUCCGGAUUUACUGGGUGUAAAGGGAGCGUAGACGGCGGAACAAGUCAGAAGUGAAAACCCGGGGCUCAACCCUGGGAGUGCUUUUGAAACUGUUUGGCUGGAGUGCAGGAGAGGUAAGCGGAAUUCCUAGUGUAGCGGUGAAAUGCGUAGAUAUUAGGAGGAACACCAGUGGCGAAGGCGGCUUGCUGGACUGUAACUGACGUUGAGGCUCGAAAGCGUGGGGAGCAAACAGGAUUAGAUACCCGAGUAGUC
This 440-nucleotide ribosomal RNA is filed under the name uncultured bacterium. RNAcentral's name for it is "partial 16S ribosomal RNA". It matches the Rfam family "Bacterial small subunit ribosomal RNA", at positions 338 to 795 of the family's 1533-position model. The record is from RNAcentral.